AAGCAGUCAGUGAUAUUUUUCAAAAGUUAUAACUGACUUAGCGAAGUCACGUUAUUUAUUUAAUCAAGAUGGAAUUAGAAUUUAUUUUUAUAUAAUUACUUAAGUCGUGGAUUAUUUUCGACUCGGGAGUUAAUUAAAUCUACGGAUUUAAUCUAGAUUCAUAUUAAUUUUUUUAGCAUCACCAAGGCAUGAGGAUAUACUUCAUUUAUUCAUCAAUCUCAUUCUCAUACUUUACAAACUAUUACAACCAAUUUUCGUUCAUACCUUCCAAUUACACCACAAUAAUUUAGCAUUUGCAUAAAGAAGAAUAAAAAGAAAAGAAAAGAAAAGAAAAAGUGUUGCCACCAUCCUUUGUUUCCAACAUUUCCUUCCACCAUCUACCACUUUAUACCAUGCCCUUUUAUCCCCACACGUCUAUCAAUUCAUAAGUUUUCUCUCACAACCAAGAAUUUCAUCAGCUGGUUGAUCCGAACUUCCAUCGUCCAUCAGAUUAACAACAGCAACAGCGGGAUCUUUUCAUAAAAGGUUUCAUUCUUCAAUUCAAUUAAUAUGUCAAUUUCCUUAAAGCCAAAACAUUCAGGUUUUCAGUAGCUCAACUUAAGGUUCCAUCUUGUAACCUUCUCGCUGAUUUCAUUUUUACAGUAUGUUUUAAACAACCAAUUGUUCCAGUUUCAACUCACCACAUGAACAAGGCAUACACAUUCAAUAUCUCAUCAAGGCAUCUGCAUAUACAAUCAGUCAAGCGCAAGAGUAAGAACUACACAAGGAGUUAGAGUACCUUAGCAAAACUUUGCUAUCAGGUUGAGCUGUGAUGGGCGUUGAAGUGUUGUUGCUGAGUGGAGUUUUUGUCAAACUUAAAGUAGGCUCAGAAAGGAUACAUGUCUUCAUACAUGUAUCUCAGUUAUGCAUUCCGCUGUAAACACUGAUUAUUUCAGUUACGCCUUCCGUUGCAAACUCUGAUAAUGUUUUAGCCAAGCCCCUAACGAUGCCUUUUUCCUUUUUAAGGAAUAUAAAGCGUAUACAAGUUCUUUGAGUACCCUUUUUAUGCGAACUAUGCCUUUUUCCUUUUUAAGGAAUAUUUCACGCAUA
Salvia miltiorrhiza (redroot sage) is the source of this 1089-nucleotide long non-coding RNA. RefSeq lists it as uncharacterized. NCBI's taxonomy places the organism in Eukaryota, Viridiplantae, Streptophyta, Magnoliopsida, Lamiales, Lamiaceae. The transcript is spliced from 3 exons. The record is from RefSeq and is a predicted model, not a curated record.